AGCGAACGUUAGCGGCGGGCCUAACACAUGCAAGUCGAGCGAGAAAGUGGCUUCGGCCACGAGUAAAGCGGCGGACGGGUGAGUAACACGUAGGUAAUCUUCCCUUGAGCGGGGGACAACGAGCCGAAAGGCUCGCUAAUACCGCAUACGUUUCCAGAGGCCCCGGUCUCUGGAAGGAAAGCUAGGCCGCAAGGUCUGGCACUCGAGGAGGAGCCUGCGUCGCAUCAGCUAGUUGGUGGGGUAACGGCCUACCAAGGCGAAGACGCGUAGCUGGGCUGAGAGGAUGAUCAGACACACGGGGACUGAGACACGGCCCAGACUCCUACGGGAGGCAGCAGUGGGGAAUAUUGGACAAUGGGCGCAAGCCUGAUCCAGCCACGCCGCGUGAGUGAUGAAGGCCUUCGGGUCGUAAAGCUCUGUGGGGAGGGACGAACCGCUGCACGUUCAUAGCGUGCAGCAUGACGGUACCUCCUUAGCAAGCACCGGCUAACUUCGUGCCAGCAGCCGCCGCAG
This 513-nucleotide ribosomal RNA is filed under the name uncultured bacterium. Its description in RNAcentral is "partial 16S ribosomal RNA". It matches the Rfam family "Bacterial small subunit ribosomal RNA", at positions 29 to 523 of the family's 1533-position model. The record is from RNAcentral.